AACAACUCACCUGCCGAAUGAACUAGCCCUGAAAAUGGAUGACGCUUAAGCGGAGUGCCGACACCGACCCGUAUUGGUAAGCGACGACCAAUAUGAGUAGGAGGGCGUGGCGAUUUUGUUCAGAAGGGUUCGACGCAAGUCGGCCUGGAACGGUCGCUAGUGCAGAUCUUGGUGGUAGUAGCAAAUAUUUAAGCGUGAUCCUUAAAGGACGAAGCGGGGAAGGGUUCCAUGCGAACAUUGAUUGGGCAUGGGUGAGUCGUUCCUAAGCCGGGUGGUAAUCGUUCUUACGAUCGGCGAAAGGGAAGUUGGUUAAAAUUCCAACACACGGAUGUGAAGGCGGCGACGCAUAUUGAGGUGAAGACGUUAGCGGAGACACUAGGCAGAGUUUUCUUUUCUGUUUAACCUGUGCUGCACUCUGUGGAAACCGUUUAUCGGGAGAAACAGGUGCCUAGCGGGAAGAGCGUCGGGGGGUCCCCGGCGUCUAGUAUGUCUCCGAGAGCCCUUGAAAAUUCAUCUGCAAUUUAAUUUCACGCCGUGGCGUACCGAUAACCGCAGCAGGUCCCCAAGGUGAACAGCCUCUGUCUAAUAUGAACAAU
Molecule: ribosomal RNA, 596 nt
Filed under: Corallinales sp. ARS-2011
Lineage: Eukaryota; Rhodophyta; Florideophyceae; Corallinales
Description: eukaryotic LSU rRNA
Rfam family: Eukaryotic large subunit ribosomal RNA
Source: RNAcentral